RNAcentral lists this ribosomal RNA (577 nucleotides) under Escherichia coli. Its description in RNAcentral is "partial 23S ribosomal RNA". It matches the Rfam family "Bacterial large subunit ribosomal RNA", at positions 677 to 1251 of the family's 2925-position model. Lineage: Bacteria; Pseudomonadati; Pseudomonadota; Gammaproteobacteria; Enterobacterales; Enterobacteriaceae. The record is from RNAcentral.
CCGAGUCUUAACUGGGCGUUAAGUUGCAGGGUAUAGACCCGAAACCCGGUGAUCUAGCCAUGGGCAGGUUGAAGGUUGGGUAACACUAACUGGAGGACCGAACCGACUAAUGUUGAAAAAUUAGCGGAUGACUUGUGGCUGGGGGUGAAAGGCCAAUCAAACCGGGAGAUAGCUGGUUCUCCCCGAAAGCUAUUUAGGUAGCGCCUCGUGAAUUCAUCUCCGGGGGUAGAGCACUGUUUCGGCAAGGGGGUCAUCCCGACUUACCAACCCGAUGCAAACUGCGAAUACCGGAGAAUGUUAUCACGGGAGACACACGGCGGGUGCUAACGUCCGUCGUGAAGAGGGAAACAACCCAGACCGCCAGCUAAGGUCCCAAAGUCAUGGUUAAGUGGGAAACGAUGUGGGAAGGCCCAGACAGCCAGGAUGUUGGCUUAGAAGCAGCCAUCAUUUAAAGAAAGCGUAAUAGCUCACUGGUCGAGUCGGCCUGCGCGGAAGAUGUAACGGGGCUAAACCAUGCACCGAAGCUGCGGCAGCGACGCUUAUGCGUUGUUGGGUAGGGGAGCGUUCUGUAAGCCUG